Molecule: ribosomal RNA, 487 nt
Filed under: uncultured bacterium
Lineage: Bacteria
Description: partial 16S ribosomal RNA
Rfam family: Bacterial small subunit ribosomal RNA
Source: RNAcentral
GAUGAACGCUAGCGAUAGGCUUAACACAUGCAAGUCGAGGGGCAGCACAAGGUAGCUUGCUAUCUGGGUGGCGACCGGCGCACGGGUGCGUAACGCGUAUGCAACUUGCCCUAUACAGGAGGAUAACCCGUCGAAAGACGGACUAAUACUGCGUAUGCUCACAACUUGGCAUCAAGUGGUGAGGAAAGAAAUUCGGUAUAGGAUAGGCAUGCGUCCCAUUAGCUUGUUGGUGAGGUAACGGCUCACUAAGGCAACGAUGGGUAGGGGAACUGAGAGGUUUAUCCCCCACACUGGUACUGAGACACGGACCAGACUCCUACGGGAGGCAGCAGUGAGGAAUACUGGUCAAUGGGCGCGAGCCUGAACCAGCCAAGUCGCGUGAAGGAUGACUGUCUUAUGGAUUGUAAACUUCUUUUAUACGGGAAUAACAAGAGUCACGUGUGACUCCCUGCAUGUACCGUAUGAAUAAGCAUCGGCUAACUCCGUG